GUCGGGGUAGCUCAGCUUGGUGGAGCGCUAGACUCAUAAUCUAGAGGUCGCGGGUUCAAACCCCGUCCCCGACA
This 74-nucleotide transfer RNA is filed under the name Thermoplasmatota archaeon. Its description in RNAcentral is "tRNA-Met". It matches the Rfam family "tRNA". From Rfam's summary of the family: Transfer RNA (tRNA) molecules are approximately 80 nucleotides in length. Their secondary structure includes four short double-helical elements and three loops (D, anti-codon, and T loops). The record is from RNAcentral. Lineage: Archaea; Methanobacteriati; Thermoplasmatota.